UUAGUGAGCGGCGGACGAGCGAGUAACACGUUGGAACCUGCCCCAAACUCAGGGAUAACAUCUAGAAAUAGGUGCUAAUACCUGGAUAGUCCCGCAAGGGUAAAGAUUUUUCGGUUUGGGAGGGGCCUGCGUACUAUCAGCUAGUUGGUAAGGUAAUGGCUUACCAAUGCUAUGACGGUUAACUGGUCUGAGAGGAUGAUCAGUCGCGAUGGGACUGAGACACGGCCCAUACUCCUACGGGAGGCAGCAGUAAGGAAUCUUCCACAAUGGACUAUAGUCUGAUGGAGCAACACCGCGUGAUCGAUGAAGCCUUUAGGGGUGUACAGAUCUUUUCUGAGAGAAGAACUCUGACGGUAUCUUAGGAAUAAGCACCGGCUAACUCCGUGCCAGCAGCCGCGGUAAUACGGAGGGUGCAAGCGUUACCCGGAAUCAUUGGGCGUAAAGCGUCCGCAGGCGGUUUGUUAAGUAAGAUGUUAAAUUUUCCAGCUCAACUGGAAAUCUAUGUCUUAAACUGGCAAACUAGAGUAUUACAGAGGUGUGCAGAAUUCUGUGUGUAGGGGUAAAAUCCG
This 569-nucleotide ribosomal RNA is filed under the name uncultured organism. RNAcentral's name for it is "bacterial SSU rRNA". It matches the Rfam family "Bacterial small subunit ribosomal RNA", at positions 88 to 690 of the family's 1533-position model. The record is from RNAcentral.